GGACCCCUUUCAGAUCCUUGCCGAUUCUGUAAUUUUUUCAUUCUAUGUUAUUUAGCUACUCCAUAUUUUAAAUCAGUAAAAGAAUUCCGUUAGUCGAAUAAACCGUCCAUUUCCUAGUCAUCUUCAUUUUCUAAUCAGCAACAUAGUUGUUGUUUUUUUUCUUUUGAGGGAACAUUUCCCACAAAGAGACAUGUCCCUUGGUCCGAUGUGUUAGUUACAUUAGGAUGGAAAACACACCACCUCGAGUUACAGGUGCUGAGCGCCCUUCCCUUGACAAUCCAACCUCAUGUUUUGAGUUGACUCACAUGUAACUCAGGAAAACUGCAUGAUGUUCUUGUCAUGGUCCUUGGUAAAGCUUACAUAUAGUUGAAACCUUGGUUAAAUGUCAAGGAUCUUGUUGAUACUAAUUUUCAAGAAGACCUGUAACCACUCUGU
This 435-nucleotide long non-coding RNA is filed under the name Bos taurus (domestic cattle). RNAcentral's name for it is "long non-coding RNA NONBTAT009695". The record is from RNAcentral. Lineage: Eukaryota; Metazoa; Chordata; Mammalia; Artiodactyla; Bovidae.